UACGGAGGGGGCGAGCGUUGUUCGGAAUCACUGGGCGGAAAGCGCGUGUAGGCGGCCCACUAAGUCUGAUGUGAAAGCCCGGGGCUCACCCCCGGAAGUGCAUUGGAAACUGGUGGACUCGAGUCCCGGAGAGGAGAGUGGAAUUCCUGGUGUAGCGGUGAAAUGCGUAGAUAUCAGGAGGAACACCGGUGGCGAAGGCGGCUCUCUGGACGGUGACUGACGCUGAGACGCGAAAGCGUGGGGAGCAAACAGG
This 253-nucleotide ribosomal RNA is filed under the name uncultured bacterium. Its description in RNAcentral is "partial 16S ribosomal RNA". It matches the Rfam family "Bacterial small subunit ribosomal RNA", at positions 524 to 776 of the family's 1533-position model. The record is from RNAcentral.